CGUCGAAGGUGGGGCUGAUGACUGGGGUGAAGUCGUAACAAGGUAUCCGUACCGGAAGGUGCGGAUGGAUCACCUCCUAACAGGGAGACAAACAACGAUUUUGAUGCCUGAGUGUUUUUAUUCUUAGGCCGAAAUCCUGUCACCUUAGGUCGAUCGGUACCUCAGAUUUGAAAUCAAGAUAAUGCAGCAAUGUGUCGUGCUUGAUGGAGAUUUUCAGUUCCUAAACUUUGUCUAGGUCACACCCCAAAAGGGAUGAGACUCCUGGGCCAUUAGCUCAGGUGGUUAGAGCGCACCCCUGAUAAGGGUGAGGUCCCUGGUUCAAGUCCAGGAUGGCCCAUUCGGUGUUGGGGGUUUAGCUCAGUUGGUAGAGCGCCUGCUUUGCAAGCAGGAUGUCAGGAGUUCGAGUCUCCUAACCUCCACUGACCGAACUUUAUCCCCAUCUCCAAAUUGUUGGAGUUGAGCUCGAUUGGAGUGUGAUUUAGAUGUGUCCGCUGGAUGACCCCAGCUUCCUGUCAUUCCAAGUUUAAAAGUGAAAGCUUUGAAUUUGGUUGAUAAGAUGCUGGGCUCGAACUGAGCAAUCAGUUUGAAAUUCUAGCAGAACCUUGACAACUGCAUAGGUGAAGUCUGGAAAAACAAAGCAUCUUACAGAUGCAUUGUUUUGAGUCUAAUUUUUCGAAAGAGAGAUUAGAACCAGAACAAUGAAAAUUCUUUUGAGCAAGAGCCGAGACUCUUGAAUGUUCUUUGAUUCGUGUCGAGCGAAUCAGAGUUUGAUCUUGUUUUUAGUAAUAAAAACUUGAGAAUCUGCUUUCAACGGCGGUAAGCGUUCAAGAGGUUAAUUGGUCAAGCUACAAAGGGCUCA
Molecule: unclassified non-coding RNA, 859 nt
Filed under: uncultured Synechococcus sp.
Lineage: Bacteria; Bacillati; Cyanobacteriota; Cyanophyceae; Synechococcales; Synechococcaceae
Description: partial may contain 16S ribosomal RNA, 16S-23S ribosomal RNA intergenic spacer, and 23S ribosomal RNA
Rfam family: tRNA (bases 347-419)
Source: RNAcentral